This 661-nucleotide ribosomal RNA is filed under the name uncultured bacterium. Its description in RNAcentral is "bacterial SSU rRNA". It matches the Rfam family "Bacterial small subunit ribosomal RNA", at positions 94 to 788 of the family's 1533-position model. The record is from RNAcentral.
AGUGGCGGACGGGUGAGUAACGCGUGAGAAUCUGCCUUCAGGUCGGGGACAACAGAGGGAAACUUCUGCUAAUCCCGGAUGAGCCUUAGGGUAAAAAAUUUAUUGCCUGGAGAUGAGCUCGCGUCUGAUUAGCUAGUUGGUAAGGUAAAAGCUUACCAAGGCAACGAUCAGUAGCUGGUCUGAGAGGAUGAGCAGCCACACUGGGACUGAGACACGGCCCAGACUCCUACGGGAGGCAGCAGUGGGGAAUUUUCCGCAAUGGGCGAAAGCCUGACGGAGCAAGACCGCGUGGGGGAGGAAGGCUCUAGGGUUGUAAACCCCUUUUCUUUGGGAAGAACAAAAUGACGGUACCAAAGGAAUCAGCCUCGGCUAACUCCGUGCCAGCAGCCGCGGUAAUACGGAGGAGGCAAGCGUUAUCCGGAAUGAUUGGGCGUAAAGCGUCCGCAGGUGGCAAUGUAAGUCUGCUGUCAAAACCCAGGGCUCAACUCUGGUCAGGCAGUGGAAACUACAUAGCUAGAGUUCGGUAGGGGCAAAGGGAAUUCCCGGUGUAGCGGUGAAAUGCGUAGAGAUCGGGAAGAACAUCGGUGGCGAAAGCGCUUUGCUAGACUGAAACUGACACUCAGGGACGAAAGCUAGGGGAGCGAAUGGGAUUAGAUACCCC